AUGCAGUCCAGCUCCAAGGCCGGCGGCAACGGCGACGCGAAGCACCUGGUUUGCGUGACCGGGGCGGGAAGUUUCAUCGGCUCGUGGGUGGUGAAGGAGCUCCUCCUCCGUGGCUACCGUGUCCGGGGAACCGCCAGGGAUCCCGCUCACCGCAAGAACGCGCACUUGCUCGCGCUGGAUGGCGCCGGGGAGAGGCUCACGCUUUGCCGUGCCGACGUCAUGCACGGCGACAGCCUCCGCGCCGCGUUCUGGGGCUGCCGCGGCGUGUUCCACAUCGCCUCCCCGGUCUCCAACGACCCCGAGCUUGUGCCUGAGGCCGUGGAGGGGACGAGGAACGUGAUCAACGCGGCGGCGGACGCGGGCGUGCGGCGCGUGGUGUUCACUUCCUCCUACGGUGCCGUGCACAUGGACCCCAACCGGAGCCCCGACACCGUCGUCACGACUACGACUACUGCAAACAAACCGGCGUACAACCUAUACUGCUGCGCCAAAAUGAUGGCGGAGGUCGCGGCGACGGAGGAGGCGGCCAGGAGGGGGCUGGAGCUGGCAGUUGUGGUGCCGGCGACGACAAUCGGUCCCGCGCUGCAGCAGACACUCAACUUCAGCAGCGACCACGUCGCCCGGUUCCUCAUGGGCGCCAAGCCUGCCUACCAGAACGCCGUCACCGCCUACGUCGACGUCCGGGACGUCGCCCGCGCGCACGCCCUCGUCUACGAGCACCCUGAAGCGCGCAGCCAUCGCUACCUCUGCGUCAGCGCCGUGCUGCACCGCGCCCACUUCGUCCGGCUCCUCAAGGACCUCUUCCCGCAGUACCCCGUCACCGCCAAGUGCGAAGAUGACGGCAAGCCGAGGGUGAGGGAGUACAGGUUCUCGAAUCAGAAGCUCGGGGAUCUGGGCCUGGAGUUCACUGACAUGAGGACAAGCUUGUACGAGACGGUGAUAUGCCUGCAGCACAGGGGCCAUGUCCCUGUCAUCGUGCCACGUCAUCGUGCAUGUUUGUGA
Molecule: ribosomal RNA, 1002 nt
Filed under: Triticum aestivum (bread wheat)
Lineage: Eukaryota; Viridiplantae; Streptophyta; Magnoliopsida; Poales; Poaceae
Description: partial small subunit ribosomal RNA
Source: RNAcentral